RNAcentral lists this unclassified non-coding RNA (229 nucleotides) under Hevea brasiliensis (rubber tree). The record is from RNAcentral. Lineage: Eukaryota; Viridiplantae; Streptophyta; Magnoliopsida; Malpighiales; Euphorbiaceae.
AUUUUCAUUUAUAUCAUUAACCAACUAAAUUACAAGAAUGAAAUAUUUUUCAAUGAAACUAAGCUUUCAUUGUAAGCAAAAGCUUGCAAAGAGUAGCCAUUUUUUUGUUGGCUAAGAACCUUAUUGUUCUUUAAAAAAGGAUCAAAUAUGUCCAAUUGAUAUGUAACAACUUCAAGAAAAAUUUCCCCAUUUUUUCCAUAUCCAAUUGAUCUUUUGAUAUUUAAAAAAG